RNAcentral lists this long non-coding RNA (555 nucleotides) under Pongo abelii (Sumatran orangutan). RNAcentral describes it as "lincRNA". The record is from RNAcentral. Lineage: Eukaryota; Metazoa; Chordata; Mammalia; Primates; Hominidae.
GGAUCCAGAGUUUCACGGCGCCCCCUGCCGGACACUGGGGGCGGGAAGGGGGAAGUGAAAAGGGAGACCUGGAUGACGCGUCUGCGGCCCCCAAGUGGUAGAGAAUGAAAGUUUGAGCACGACUGUAGGGAAAGGAAUCAAACCUCCCAGGCCAGCCUCAAGGAAUCCUGAUCUGGGCUACCCUAUCUGUGCUUCUGGGGAGGUGGGCCCAGAACCAUUGUGUGAAUAACGAUUGACCUCAGCUAGUGGUUCUCAUGGAGUGACUGAUUUUGCCUCCCAGAGGACAUCAGCAAUGUCUGGAGACAUUUCCAGUUGUCACUACUUGAGAGGAAGCACGAUCUGCCUCUAGAAGGGAGAGACCAGGGAUGCUGCUGCUCAAUAUCCUAUAAUGCGCAGAACAGCUUCUACGACAAAUAGAGUUAUCCCACCAAAAAAGUCAGUAGUGCCAAGGUUGAGAGAACCUGCUCUAGGGUAAUCAGCGUGGUCCUAAUCUCCCUGUCAGUGACUGAUUCAACUCACAUAAUAAUCUUAUGGGAGUGUGAUGUAAUUCUAGCC